RNAcentral lists this ribosomal RNA (433 nucleotides) under uncultured bacterium. RNAcentral describes it as "partial 16S ribosomal RNA". It matches the Rfam family "Bacterial small subunit ribosomal RNA", at positions 29 to 507 of the family's 1533-position model. The record is from RNAcentral.
AACGAACGCUGGCGGCAUGCCUAACACAUGCAAGUCGAACGAGACCUUCGGGUUUAGUGGCGCACGGGUGCGUAACGCGUGGGAACCUGCCCUUAGGUUCGGAAUAACUCCCCGAAAGGGGUGCUAAUACCGGAUAAUGUCUGCGGACCAAAGAUUUAUCGCCUUUGGAUGGGCCCGCGAUGGAUUAGCUAGUUGGUAGGGUAAAAGCCUACCAAGGCGACGAUCCAUAGCUGGUCUGAGAGGAUGAUCGGCCACACUGGGACUGAGACACGGCCCAGACUACUACGGGAGGGAGCAGUGGGGAAUAUUGGACAAUGGGCGAAAGCAUGAUCCAGCAAUGCCGCGUGAGUGAUGAAGGCCUUAGGGUUGUAAAGCUCUUUUACCCGGGAUGAUAAUGACAGUACCAGGAGAAUAAGCCCCGGCUAACUCCGUG